This 679-nucleotide ribosomal RNA is filed under the name Russula murrillii. Its description in RNAcentral is "eukaryotic LSU rRNA". It matches the Rfam family "Eukaryotic large subunit ribosomal RNA", at positions 1 to 653 of the family's 3401-position model. The record is from RNAcentral. Lineage: Eukaryota; Fungi; Basidiomycota; Agaricomycetes; Russulales; Russulaceae.
UUGACCUCAAAUCGGGUGAGACUACCCGCUGAACUUAAGCAUAUCAAUAAGCGGAGGAAAAGAAACUAACAAGGAUUCCCCUAGUAACUGCGAGUGAAGCGGGAAAAGCUCAAAUUUAAAAUCUGGUGGCCUUUGGUCAUCCGAGUUGUAAUUUAGAGAAGCGUCUUCCGCGCUGGACCGUGCACAAGUCUCCUGGAACGGAGCGUCAUAGAGGGUGAGAAUCCCGUCUUUGGCACGGACAUGCCAGGGCUUUUGUGAUGCGCUCUCGAAGAGUCGAGUUGUUUGGGAAUGCAGCUCAAAAUGGGUGGUGAACUCCAUCUAAAGCUAAAUAUUGGCGAGAGACCGAUAGCGAACAAGUACCGUGAGGGAAAGAUGAAAAGCACUUUGGAAAGAGAGUGAAACAGUACGUGAAAUUGUUGAAAGGGAAACGCUUGAAGUCAGUCGCGUCGACCGAGACUCAGCCUUGCCUUGGCUUGGUGUACUUCUCGGCUGACGGGUCAGCAUCAAUUUUGCCCCUUGGAUAAUGGCGAGGGAAAUGUGACACCUUUACGGUGUGUUAUAGUCUCUUGUCGCAUGCAAGGGUUGGGAUUGAGGAACUCAGCACGCGCCUUUGGGUGUCGGGGUAUUCGCCCACGAUACGUGCUUAGGAUGUUGGCGUAAUGGCUUUAAACGACCCGUC